GGGCUUUUGGAGCUGCUAGAUUAACCGCAGAACAGCAGAAGAACUUCUAGCUUGCUACCGCGGUCACCUAUUUUGGACUGGCAGAGGGUCUGACUGUAAAAGAAUCUGUCUGGAGAAUAAUGUCAAAACUAGCAAAUUAAUUGGCGCAGAGUGAAUGGGAAGUAUGGCUUUGAACCACUUGCCAUUAAAGAUGUUGUUCUCACUAACUUUUAUUUGUGUAUCAUAGUGUUAAUUUAUUUUCAUUGUUAUAGGAAAAAUAUUUACACUUUCUUGCCGAGAGUUAGAUGAGAAGAUUGAUAAAACUGUCAUGUCUAUAUGCUAGAUAUAAAGCUUGCACCAGGAGAUGGUUAACUUUGUGCAGCGUAAAAUAAUAAUACAUUUUUAAAUAAUAAAAAUAAAAACAAUUUAGUAAUGAAAAAUAACCAAUAAGAUUAUCAAUAAAGAACCGUAUAAGGCAUAUCAAUAAAAUAAAGAUAAAAUUCUAACAAUAUACACAGCUCUUUAAUAAAGUAAAAGUAUUUCUUAUCAGAUGGUAAAUCAAUAUAAUAAUCAGUGGAAUACUUGAUUACUAAAAUAGCUGUAAGCUAUACCCAUUUACAGGCUGUGAUACUUGCCAAAGUACUGACCAUGCAGGGUGCCGAAGCUUUUGUUAUGGGCCUUUUUCUUUUUUGUCAUUUUGAAACUAUAAAAUAUGUCAAUUGUAUUCAUUUAAAAUUAAAUCUACAACACAAUAAAGUCUGCAAAAAGUGAAGGGGUCUGAAUACUUUCACAGACGACUAUAUAACCCCGUAAAGUGCUAGUUUUUUCCAGUCUUUAUGCUAAGUUAGGAUAACCAGCUUCAUGUUUGAACAUGCAAACUUGUGCCAUAUUCACCUGAUUGAUAAAUUAUUAUUUUUUUCUUUUUUUUUUUUAAGAAUCUGUGCGAAGAAAUGCAAGUACUGCCAGUGCGUCAGACUGAGACAUUGAAAAGUUCAUUAAAAGAUGAAUGCAGAUUGCAUCUGACAGAGAUGGGGGAAGAAGAGAGCAGGCCCUAAAGCAAGCAAAUUCUUUCUACAAUGUUUAAGCUGAUGUAAUGACGUAUGUUCAGUGUUGCCAGAAGGCUCUGUUUACGGCAUGUAUCUGCGAGGAGGAUUUGACCGUCACAAAUAGUUUAUCACGAACAAUAGCCACUGUAACAGGGAGAGAUGGCAGCCUAAUGUCCAAGGAUAUUUCCACCAGAGCAGCGCAGUUUUAUCCGGAUGAACGGGCGAAAUAUAUGACUUUACUUCAUCACUCGAGGGUGGAGUCAUCGGCUACAGCAAGAUUUGCUGAUUGGAUAAAUCACAUUUGCAACACUGAUCCAGACUCUUAUUGGUUUUAUCCGGAUGAAUGGGCGAAAUAAAUGACUUCAUCAUUUGGCUUCAUCUAAAUUGGAUAUCAAGAUUCACUCCUCAGGGUGGAGUCAGCGGCUACAGCCAGAUUGGCUGAUUGGAUAAAUCACAUUUGCAGUGCUGAUGCAGACUCUUAUUGGUCAAGUUUAUCUGCAAUAUGUUUUUUACAUAUAUUUGCAAGU
Long non-coding RNA from Myxocyprinus asiaticus (Chinese sucker), 1552 nucleotides. RefSeq lists it as uncharacterized. The transcript has 7 exons. The record is from RefSeq and is a predicted model, not a curated record. Lineage: Eukaryota; Metazoa; Chordata; Actinopteri; Cypriniformes; Catostomidae.